GAGGGUAUAGCUCAGUGGUAGAGUGCACGCUUAGCAUGCACGAGGUCCUGGGUUCAAUACCCAUAUACCUCCA
RNAcentral lists this transfer RNA (73 nucleotides) under Camelus bactrianus (Bactrian camel). It matches the Rfam family "tRNA". Rfam says of the family: Transfer RNA (tRNA) molecules are approximately 80 nucleotides in length. Their secondary structure includes four short double-helical elements and three loops (D, anti-codon, and T loops). Lineage: Eukaryota; Metazoa; Chordata; Mammalia; Artiodactyla; Camelidae. RNAcentral also lists the same sequence under 3 other names. The record is from Rfam by way of RNAcentral.